Molecule: ribosomal RNA, 964 nt
Filed under: uncultured eubacterium WCHA2-26
Lineage: Bacteria; Candidatus Microgenomatota
Description: bacterial SSU rRNA
Rfam family: Bacterial small subunit ribosomal RNA
Source: RNAcentral
UACGUAGGUCUCAAGCGUUAUCCGGAUUUACUGGGCGUAAAGUGUCCGUAGCCUGAUAUAUAAGUCUGUUUUCAAAUACUCUGACUCAAUCAGAGAAAGGGGAUAGAUACUGUAUAUCUAGAAAUUGUUAGAGGUUAGUGGAAUUUCCGGUGGAGCGGUGAAAUGUGUUGAUAUCGGAAAGAAUGCCGAAAGCGAAAGCAGCUAACUAUAAUAAAUUUGACGGUGAUGGACGAAAGCUUGGGUAGCAAACGGGAUUAGAUACCCCGGUGGUCCAAGCUGUAAAUUAUGUUUGCUAGGUGUCUCUCCUAUACUUAUGUUUGUCGUAAGGAUAAAUGUAACUAUAGGAGGGUGCCGUAACCUAACGGGUUAAGCAAAUCGCCUGAGUAGUAUAUUCGCAAGAAUGAAACUCAAAGGGAUAGGCGGGGGAACACACAAGCAGUGGAUUAUCUAGAUUAAUUGGAUACGAAGCCAAGAAUCUUACCCGGACUUGACAUGCAUUGUGUCUACGGUGAAAGCCGUAUAUUUGUAGCAAUACAAAGCUUUGCACAGGUGGUGCAUGGUCGUCGUCAGCUCGUGCCGCAAGGUGUCUAGUUAAGUCUAGGAACGAGCGCAACCCUCAUCAUUAGUUAGAAUGUCUAAUGAGACUGCCUGGGCAACCAGGAGGAAGGAGAGGAUGACGUCAGAUCCUCAUGCCCCUUACGUCCGGGGCUUCAUAGAUAAUACAAUGGGUAGUAACAACGAGAAGCGAUAUCGCGAGAUGGAGCAAAUCUCUAAACCUACCCCUAGUUCGGAUUGUAGUCUGGAACUUGACUACAUGAAGUUGGAAUUGCUAGUAAUGGCGAAUCAGCCAUGUCGCCGUGAAUAUGUCCCUGUUCCUUGCACUCACCGCCCGUCAAACCAUGGGAGUUGAGGUUCUUUGAAGACUCGCUUAGGCGGGUUAAGGAGAAAAUCGAUGACUGGGGUU